This 576-nucleotide ribosomal RNA is filed under the name uncultured eukaryote. Its description in RNAcentral is "SSU rRNA". It matches the Rfam family "Eukaryotic small subunit ribosomal RNA", at positions 174 to 758 of the family's 1831-position model. The record is from RNAcentral.
UAAAAACCCCGACUUCGGAAGGGGUGUAUUUAUUAGAUACAAAACCAAUGCCCUUCGGGGCUCUUUGGUGAUUCAUGAUAACUAUACGAAUCGCACGGCCUUGCGCCGGCGAUGGUUCAUUCAAAUUUCUUCCCUAUCAACUUUCGAUGUUUGGGUAUUGGCCAAACAUGGUUGCAACGGGUAACGGAGGGCUAGGGCUCGACCCCGGAGAAGGAGCCUGAGAAACGGCUACUACAUCCAAGGAAGGCAGCAGGCGCGCAAAUUACCCAAUCCCGACUCGGGGAGGUAGUGACAAUAAAUACUGAUACAGGGCCCUUUCGGGCCUUGUAAUUGGAAUGAGUACAAUUUAAAUCCCUUAACGAGGAACAAUUGGAGGGCAAGUCUGGUGCCAGCAGCCGCGGUAAUUCCAGCUCCAAUAGCGUAUAUUAAAGUUGUUGUGGUUAAAAAGCUCGUAGUUGUACCUUGGGCCUGGCUGGCCGAUCCGCCUCACCGCGUGCACUGGUCCGGCCGGGCCUUUCCCUCUGUGGAACCCCAUACCCUUCACUGGGCGUGGCGGGGAAACAGGACAUUUACUUU